CCCUGUGACAUACCUAUACGUUGCCUCGGCGGAUCAGCCCGCGCCCUGUAAAACGGGACGGCCCGCCCGAGGACCCUAAACUCUGUUUUUAGUGGAACUUCUGAGUAAAACAAACAAAUAAAUCAAAACUUUCAACAACGGAUCUCUUGGUUCUGGCAUCGAUGAAGAACGCAGCAAAAUGCGAUAAGUAAUGUGAAUUGCAGAAUUCAGUGAAUCAUCGAAUCUUUGAACGCACAUUGCGCCCGCCAGUAUUCUGGCGGGCAUGCCUGUUCGAGCGUCAUUUCAACCCUCAAGCUCAGCUUGGUGUUGGGACUCGCGGUAACCCGCGUUCCCCAAAUCGAUUGGCGGUCACGUCGAGCUUCCAUAGCGUAGUAAUCAUACACCUCGUUACUGGUAAUCGUCGCGGCCACGCCGUAAAACCCCAACUUCUGAAUGUUGACCUCGGAUCAGGUAGGAAUACCCGCUGAACUUAAGCAUAUCAAUAAGCGGAGGAA
This 494-nucleotide ribosomal RNA is filed under the name Fusarium sp. JP44MY2. RNAcentral's name for it is "eukaryotic LSU rRNA". The stretch from base 127 to 280 matches the Rfam family "5.8S ribosomal RNA". Lineage: Eukaryota; Fungi; Ascomycota; Sordariomycetes; Hypocreales; Nectriaceae. The record is from RNAcentral.